UGAGCUGUGAUGAUGAAGACUUUACGUCACUGUCCUGAGUCAGGCUGAUGGUUUUAAGUCACUACCUCAUCUGAGCUGUCA
Nothobranchius furzeri (turquoise killifish) is the source of this 81-nucleotide small nucleolar RNA. The record is from Ensembl. NCBI's taxonomy places the organism in Eukaryota, Metazoa, Chordata, Actinopteri, Cyprinodontiformes, Nothobranchiidae.